GGGUAGUAAAAUUUUUUAAACCUAAAGAAUUUGGCGGUAUCUUAUUCUUACUAGAGGAACCUGCUCUUGGAUCGAUAAUCCACGUUUAAAUGUACAUAUUUUAGUAUAUCAGUCUGUAUACCGCCGUUGUCAGAUUAUUUUUAAAAAAUAUAAUCUAAUUAAUUAUUAAUUGGGACUUCAGGUCAAGGUGCAGCUUAUAAAUAUGGGAGAAGUGGGUUACAAUAAUUUAAAAUUAUACGAAUUAAUUAGUGUAACAUUAGUUAUGAAGGUGGAUUUAGUAGUAAAUUAAAAAUAAAAUUUUUAGUUGAAAUGAGCUCUGAG
RNAcentral lists this ribosomal RNA (321 nucleotides) under Triops sp. BV-2012. RNAcentral describes it as "partial 12S ribosomal RNA". The record is from RNAcentral. Lineage: Eukaryota; Metazoa; Arthropoda; Branchiopoda; Notostraca; Triopsidae.